This 484-nucleotide ribosomal RNA is filed under the name Bacillus subtilis. Its description in RNAcentral is "bacterial SSU rRNA". It matches the Rfam family "Bacterial small subunit ribosomal RNA", at positions 1 to 484 of the family's 1533-position model. Lineage: Bacteria; Bacillati; Bacillota; Bacilli; Caryophanales; Bacillaceae. The record is from RNAcentral.
UAGAGUUUGAUCCUGGCUCAGGACGAACGCGGGCGGCGUGCUUAAUACAUGCAAGUCGAGCGGACCGACGGGAGCUUGCUCCCUUAGGUAAGCGGCGGAGGGGUGAGUAACACGUGGGUAACCUGCCUGUAAGACUGGGAUAACUCCGGGAAACCGGGGCUAAUACCGGAUGCUUGAUUGAACCGCAUGGUUCAAUCAUAAAAGGUGGCUUUCAGCUACCACUUACAGAUGGACCCGCGGCGCAUUAGCUAGUUGGUGAGGUAACGGCUCACCAAGGCGACGAUGCGUAGCCGACCUGAGAGGGUGAUCGGCCACACUGGGACUGAGACACGGCCCAGACUCCUACGGGAGGCAGCAGUAGGGAAUCUUCCGCAAUGGACGAAAGUCUGACGGAGCAACGCCGCGUGAGUGAUGAAGGUUUUCGGAUCGUAAAACUCUGUUGUUAGGGAAGAACAAGUACCGUUCGAAUAGGGCGUACCUGACG